Molecule: long non-coding RNA, 667 nt
Organism: Homo sapiens (human)
Lineage: Eukaryota; Metazoa; Chordata; Mammalia; Primates; Hominidae
Gene: PCBP1-AS1
Product: PCBP1 antisense RNA 1
Source: Ensembl
GCGGCCGCCAUGUUUCCUGAACACAAAAUGGCGACACGUGGUUAGCAUUCGUCGCCAACGAGAAAUUGGGGUCGGCCCGAAAGCUCUAGAAUGCACCCCUCUUCCUCCCCGGGGCCUUCCACCUCCGCGAGUUUUAUGACUUAAAAAAGCCCACAGGCUGGUCUGAAGAGGAAGACAAACAUAAAGAUGAAGUGCUUAAUUCAAGGUCACACAAUGUCGGGGAUGGACCUCCAGAUUUCCUUACUGGUGAGACGUGGUCUUGUAACACAGUGGUUAAGAAUGUGACUUUGGAGCCAGCCUGCUAGGGGCUGAAUUCUGACUCAGCCAUUUACUAACUGUGUGACCUUAGGGAGGAGGACCUGGUUGAUAGAAGAAUUUAUCUCGUAGUCUUAACAUCCACUGUAAUUCCAAACUUUGAGGACGAUAGAGAUCAGUGGGCUUUGACUGCCCAGCAUGCAGUCUCCAUUCUUAGACUCUUCUGCAGAACCCCAUGUUGACCCCUGCUUUGAGGUGGCAGAGUUAACACUACUCUUCGUUAUAAGCUCUCGUCUGGGGCAACUCAGAAGAACCCAGAGACAGACUCCCAGACUCGGCCAGAGGCUGAUGCCAACUCCUUCCAGCUCUCACGGGGACCAGAUGUGCAGAGGUAAUGAAUACCAGGGAAUCA